This 202-nucleotide long non-coding RNA is filed under the name Gossypium barbadense (sea-island cotton). RNAcentral describes it as "long non-coding RNA (GBAR_LNC007059)". The record is from RNAcentral. Lineage: Eukaryota; Viridiplantae; Streptophyta; Magnoliopsida; Malvales; Malvaceae.
AGUUAUGGAAGAGAUAGAAACCUUGGUUUCUAUGGCAAGCAAUUUUGAAGAAGAUCCAUUGGAGAGAGCCUUAGAUCUUGACCCUUUGGAGGAUGAAGAAGGUGAAGAAAACAUGGCUUUGAUGGAAGCCAAUUUGAGAAAUUUAAUUCAAUCCACACGAUUUGAACUGUUAGAGUUGGAAGUCAGAGAAUUUGUGUAACCC